This 305-nucleotide unclassified non-coding RNA is filed under the name Hevea brasiliensis (rubber tree). Lineage: Eukaryota; Viridiplantae; Streptophyta; Magnoliopsida; Malpighiales; Euphorbiaceae. The record is from RNAcentral.
AGUUCUGCUUCUUCAUCAAAAUCGAAGCGUCCCACGCGGAAAAAACCCGUCGCCUUCGUCUAUGUGCUCGGCUGCUUUCACAAGGGCCGUUAUAUCUCCUACGUCGGCUGGACCAAUGACGUGACGCAGCGGCUUGCGAAGCAUAACAACGGCACCGGGGCGCGUUCGACACGCGGGCGGGCCUGGACGUUGCUGCACACCGAACCGUUCCAGACGCGCAACGAAGCCAUGAGCCGCGAAUGGCAUCUCAAGCGCGACCGGGCCUUCCGGAAAAAGCUGAUGGACGCGGUGCGGGCGGGGCAGAG